RNAcentral lists this ribosomal RNA (482 nucleotides) under uncultured Methanosaeta sp. RNAcentral's name for it is "bacterial SSU rRNA". It matches the Rfam family "Archaeal small subunit ribosomal RNA", at positions 856 to 1338 of the family's 1478-position model. Lineage: Archaea; Methanobacteriati; Methanobacteriota; Methanomicrobia; Methanotrichales; Methanotrichaceae. The record is from RNAcentral.
UCAAAUGAAUUGACGGGGAGCACCACGAACGGGUGGAGCUUGCGGUUUAAUUGGAUUCAACGCCGGAAAUCUUACCGGGACCGACAGCAAUAUGAAGGCCAGGCUGAAGACUUUGCCGGAUUAGCUGAGAGGUGGUGCAUGGCCGUCGUCAGUUCGUACUGUGAAGCAUCCUGUUAAGUCAGGCAACGAGCGAGACCCACGCCCACAGUUGCCAGCGUACUCUCUGGAGUGACGGGUACACUGUGGGACCGCCGCUGCUAAAGCGGAGGAAGGAAUGGGCAACGGUAGGUCAGUAUGCCCCGAAUAUCCCGGGCUACACGCGAGCUACAAUGGUUGGUACAAUGGGUAUCUACCCCGAAAGGGGACGGGAAUCUCCUAAAACCAAUCUUAGUUCGGAUUGAGGGCUGCAACUCGCCCUCAUGAAGCUGGAAUCCGUAGUAAUCGCGUUUCAACAGAACGCGGUGAAUACGUCCCUGCUCCUU